This is an RNA transcript of Folsomia candida, 1502 nucleotides long. RefSeq lists it as uncharacterized. The transcript is spliced from 3 exons. The record is from RefSeq and is a predicted model, not a curated record. Lineage: Eukaryota; Metazoa; Arthropoda; Collembola; Entomobryomorpha; Isotomidae.
ACAAAAGAUCACAGUUUGCCAAAAUUUGGCAAAGAUUAAACUCAUCCUGAGAUCAUCACAUUUUACAAAAAUUUGCAAACCGAGAUAAUAUCAACUCAGUUUUUCUUUUCCAUCCCGCCCUGGUAUCCUUCCCAUGCUAUUAGUAUGGUAGGGAUACGAAGCGGGAACCAAAUUUUUGGUGAAGUAAUUCUGAGUCAGUAGUACAUAAAACUCAGUUGUCCAAAAUCCGAAAUUAUGACGCCCUACAAAUUCCUGGUCGUAUUCCUCACCGUACUUUUUCUCCUCACUGAUAACGCCUUAUCGACACCAUAUCCGCGAAACUGUGGAAAAAAUCGGCGAAGAAAUUGUCCCUCUGAAAAUAAGGCGACGACGACGACGACGCCAAAACCGGUGAAGGACGACGAAGGUCCGAAAUUCAUUUUGGCCAAGGUGACCGGCGUCCAGCCGAAUACGAAUUGUCCAAAUGGUCAAGUCUUCUCGUCCCGGAGGGGAACCUGUGUCACAAAUUUUUCCUCCCACCCAAAGGGGACAAUUGGCAAGUAGACGGGAAAUCAUGGGAAAUCAAAUAAAAUUCCAAAAACUUAUUUUAAAAAAUCUGAAAAUAUUCCAACUUUUCUAACGACCUGAUGACGGUCAGACUUUGUGGGUGUGGUGUUCGCUAACUCAUAUAGAUCACUAAAAUUUUAAAAUAUUUUCACAUAUUGUUACACAUUUUGGGAUUUUGAGACACUUAAAUAUUUCCACUAUUAAAAUACCUAAGUAUUUUAAAAAUACGUAGAUCUGUUACAUAUGUUUUUAAAAAAAUACGUUUGCAUUUUGUAAAUAUUAUAUACAAUUCCAUCCAAAAACUGAAAAAAAUUCUGAAAUGUAAGUCUUUAUUUUUCUCCUUCUAUAAAACAACGCAAAACGUACAAUUUUUACAAGUAGGGCGAAAAUCAUGACAGUUUUAAAAAAACUAAAAAAACGUAAAACUUACAAUUUUGGAUUGGAGCAUUAACUUGAAAUAAUAGAGAAUGCAUGCACUUACAAUGUUUUAUGUAAAUCACAAUUUGUAAAUAAAAGCUAUUUCUUACAAAAAUCGGAAAACGUAAUAUUCUAAUAAAUAAUUAGUAGUGGUGUUUUUAUAAGAAAAUUCCAAAACUUUAAAAUAAAUCUGAAAACGUAAAAUGUUUUUUAUAUUAACCAAUCAUUUUAUAAAAGCAUUUUUGAAACUUUUUAAGCAUAAAUGUGACUCUACAUUUAGUUGACUUUAUUAUUUUUCAAUUACCACGAAAAUGUUAAUAUUAUGCGACGCAGCAAAAUUUUUGUAAAUGUUGAACAUUAAUUUAAAAUUGUAGAUUAAGGGACUAGUCCAAUAUAAUUUCGUAGGGAUAAUUAUUUUUUUGAAAUAGAUGUAAAUUCCAAAAAUACGAAAAAUUCUGAAAAUGUAAAAUAUCAAUUUUUAACGUGCCUUCUUAUUUAGAUUUCUUAAAUGUGAUUAAAUUUUUGAAAUUUAUUAUUUC